RNAcentral lists this ribosomal RNA (653 nucleotides) under uncultured organism. Its description in RNAcentral is "bacterial SSU rRNA". It matches the Rfam family "Bacterial small subunit ribosomal RNA", at positions 1 to 663 of the family's 1533-position model. The record is from RNAcentral.
GGCUUAGAGUUUGAUCAUGGCUCAGGAUAAACGCUGGCGGCGCACAUAAGACAUGCAAGUCGAACGGACUUAACCAUUAGUUUACUAUUGGAGCGGUUAGUGGCGGACUGGUGAGUAACACGUAAGCAACCUGCCUGUUAGAGGGGAACAACAGUUAGAAAUGACUGCUAAUACCGCAUAUGCCUUGAGUAUCGCAUGGUACAAGAGGGAAAGGAGCAAUCCGCUAACAGGUGGGCUUGCGUCUGAUUAGAUAGUUGGUGGGGUAACGGCCUACCAAGUCGACGAUCAGUAGCCGGACUGAGAGGUUGAACGGCCACAUUGGGACUGAGAUACGGCCCAGACUCCUACGGGAGGCAGCAGUCGGGAAUAUUGCGCAAUGGAGGAAACUCUGACGCAGUGACGCCGCGUGCAGGAAGAAGGUUUUCGGAUUGUAAACUGCUUUAGACAGGGAAGAACAAAUGACAGUACCUGCAGAAUAAGCUCCGGCUAACUACGUGCCAGCAGCCGCGGUAAUACGUAGGGAGCAAGCGUUAUCCGGAUUUAUUGGGUGUAAAGGGUGCGUAGACGGGAAGUCAAGUUAGUUGUGAAAUCCCUCGGCUCAACUGAGGAACUGCAACUAAAACUAACUUUCUUGAGUGCUGGAGAGGAAAGUG